Pelmatolapia mariae (spotted tilapia) is the source of this 3215-nucleotide long non-coding RNA. RefSeq lists it as uncharacterized. The transcript has 3 exons. NCBI's taxonomy places the organism in Eukaryota, Metazoa, Chordata, Actinopteri, Cichliformes, Cichlidae. The record is from RefSeq and is a predicted model, not a curated record.
UCAUAUGCUGGACACAGUUUAUGCAGACGGCGCUACCGUUUCAUCCUAAGCGAGUAAAAUAGUGAAUUUGGAUGAUAAAACAAACUAAACCAACGUUUGGAUCGAUAUCUGCAUCGAUCUGCCCACCCUUGUCUCCUGGAUCGUAGCUGAGAUCAGCGUGAACCACGUGGGUCUCUGCUCCCUGAUCUGUUUCCUGUGUUUGGAAAGAGUUCCAGCUUCAUCACGGAGUUUCUCUCGGUUUGUGGGCUCAUCUAAAGCUGAUCAGCAGGAGGAGAAGAGUCUGACGGAGCAGCAGAGGAACAUUUUCAGCCAUCUGGACUCAGCUGAGUCACUACAGAGGAAACAAUGAGCUCAACACAGAAGGACCAACAUGGAGCGAGAAGUCAGCGCUCUCAGGAGGCCGACAAACCUCACAGAAGAAAGAGAGAGAACAAAUACACCUGUGACGAGUGUGGGAAGGGUUUUCCUGCUAAGUCUAAACUAAAACGUCAUCAGGUCAUCCACACUGGAGAGAGACCGUUCAGUUGUGAAUUGUGUGGAAAGACUUUUUCCUGGAAGCGUUCCCUAAAAGCACACCAACUCAUCCACAGUGGAGUUAAAGCGUACAGCUGUGAUCAGUGUGGCAGAGCUUUUACUCACAGUAGCCACUUAAAGAGGCAUCUAGUUACCCACUCUGGAGUUAAGGCAUACAGCUGUGACAUUUGUGGAAAAACUUUCAGCCGGAUAGGGAGCCGAAAUACACACCUACGCAUUCACACCGGACAUGAUGUGUACUGCUGUGAUCAGUGUGGCAAACGCUGUACUACAGACACACAACUAAAACGUCACGUUUACCCACACUGAGGAACAACCUCAUAAAUGUGCCCUUUGUGGAAAAGCUUUCACUCAGCAAAUGGCCCUAAAAACACAUCAACAUAAACACGCUGGAGACAAACUUAAAUACUGCAACGAAUGUGGGAGAAGCUUCACCACAUCAAGUGGAUUAAAACAACAUGAACUCAUUCACAGUGGGGUCAAAAAGCACCUCUGUGAUCAGUGUGGGGCAUCCUUCAACAGUGCCGGUAGCCUUAAAACACACAAACGAGUCCACACAGGAGAGAAACCAUACAAGUGCAGAUACUGUGACAAAAGCUUCUCAUGUUCAAGUAGUCGUAAAAAGCAUGAACGUAUACACAUGGAAGGAAACUACAGCUGUGACCAGUGUGACAAGAGCUUCAGGAAUCUCAGUUCAUACUCCGAACACAAACGAUCCCACAUUACUAAUAAACUGUUUCACUGUUACCAAUGUGCCAAAACAUUCACUAAAUUAUCUGCUCUGUGCAAACAUCAGCGUGAUCACUCAGGGCUGAAAUCACUCCCAUCACAGUGAAUCUGAAGAGACAGAAAGAUCCUCUUCUGGUUUGAGGGUCUGUUGGGUUUAAGUCAACCCUGCUGGUUAAGGCAGAAAUGGUUACUAAGAGAAACCACACAGACACUGUUAGAUUUAUCUAGUUACAAACCUAUUGCUGGAACAGCCGAGACAACCUCCUGCAAAUAGCAAACAUAAGCCACCAGGCGGAACUCUUUGUGUGAUCUCGCGUGCAGGGAGCCAACUGAGGUCAAGCGUUGCUCCACCCACUUCAACGAGAGUUAGACUCUCAGCUGGCUUUUUCCUAGCACUGCUUUUAUUGUGGUUACAUGAAUAUGCAUAGUUUCAUUAACAUGUGACUCUCAAACAGGCAUAUGUGUGACCAGUCUGUGUGUACAUGUAGAUAUGCGUGUGUGUAAAUGCCUCCCCAGAUAGCUGGGCCAGGGAGUCCAGCAGUUCACCUAAACAAAGGGUUCUUAUACUUAAACAGAUACAGAUGUGUUUGCCAUACCAUAUAUCAGAAAGAGAAGAUACGACCUCUCUCAUGACCUUAGGAUGUUUGUGAGGUAUGCCACAAAAUCCUGGAAAGGGAGUGAACGUACUCCCCUUUUUAUGGUACACAGAUGCUGUGUCCCAAUCCAGCCACUGCACGCUUUCUAAUACGUGCAGUUCGCGUACUAGAAAGUAUGAGAAGUGCGGAAGUGAGAGGCUCGUGAAAUGGGACGUCUGGCCUUUGUCGCGCUGCUCAGGUUGCCUAGCAACCAUGAUACUAACCGCGAGAAACGUUUCACACAGCAUUGUGUGACAGACAUGUAGGAGAACAAAUUUUUUUUUGUUCUUUCAGUUUUUUUAUGACAUCACUUUGGUUGAGUAUCUGAGGCUGAGACCACGGGACUGUAACAACAUGAUUGUUGGGUUUCAUUUCUGUACUGAACAGUAUUGGGAUUAGAGAAAUUAUUUCACUGUUAUUGUUCAUAGUACCAUGGCAUUAAUCACAUAAUCUCCAAGUAGGGAUAGUGCAUUUAGAUGUUUAAACAUAUUGGCACCCAAUUAAGCUUUUAUUACAGGUCCAGUAAGAACCACUUUAAACUGUUGAGUUGAAUCUAUAAUUUUAAAGGCUUUUUGAAUGUGGUUUUAUUCUUACACUGAACCUGCACAGACUUCAGUGAGUGAGAGACUGAGUUGCAGGCUGACAGGAAACGCCAUGCUUUGCAAAAGUGAAACUGAAAGCAGAGUCUAAGUGCAAGCUAAGAGCAGGUUAUUUUAUUAUGCAUUUAUAUCUUUGAUUAAGCUUUGAUUAAGUUUUAAGUAGUUGUAUUAGAUUGAAACAUUUGUUUUAUAUAUUUUAUAUAUAUGUCAAGAUUAUUACACACAUACACACAUACCGACACAUAUAGUUUCAGCUGUGUAUGUGCGGGCCUUAUGUCUGAAGAUGACUAGAGGUGCGAGGUGAGACAGAGUGCAGACGAGGUCAUGGCAUAUACACACACACACACACUCAGUUAGAAUCAUUUGUAGGUGAAAGUUUAAGCAUGUUUUGCUGUGACUGUAUUUUUGUGUAUACGUGACUGCUUGAUGAAGAAGCAGGUGCAGGAUGUUCCAGAGAUAAGCGACAGCGGAGGCGAGCUGGGGGAAGCACCUGGCUUCGAGCUGAAGACGAUGUUCUUUUUAAACUAUGUCAAAGUUAACUGAACAUUUGUGGUUUUGGAUUGACGUAUGCAUGUAACUGUGUCUGCUUAAUGCAGGAAGGGGCGUUGUAUUACCCCCAACCCUAUAAAACCUUUGUUUGUGUCGUUGUUGAGCAGAGAUCAAUGCUGUCUGUGUACAGGAUUCAUCUCUCCGCGCGUAUUCAUUAAAAUGUCGUCUA